RNAcentral lists this ribosomal RNA (435 nucleotides) under uncultured bacterium. RNAcentral's name for it is "partial 16S ribosomal RNA". It matches the Rfam family "Bacterial small subunit ribosomal RNA", at positions 30 to 507 of the family's 1533-position model. The record is from RNAcentral.
ACGAACGCUGGCGGCAUGCCUAACACAUGCAAGUCGAACGAUGGUCUUCGGAUCAUAGUGGCGCACGGGUGCGUAACGCGUGGGAAUCUGCCCUUGGGUUCGGAAUAACAGUUGGAAACGACUUCUAAUACCGGAUUAUGUCGAUAAGACCAAAGAUUUAUCGCCCGAGGAUGAGCCCGCGUCGGAUUAGCUGGUUGGUUGGGUAAAGGCCUACCAAGGCGACGAUCCGUAGAUGGUCUGAGAGGAUGAUAAGCCACACUGGGACUGAGACACGGCCCAGAAUACGACGGGAGGGAGCAGUGGGGAAUAGAGGAAAAGGGGCGGAAGGCUGAAAAAGCAAUGACGGGUGAGUGAUGAAGGCGUUAGGGUAGUAAAGCUCUUUUAAACGGGAAGAUAAUGACGGUAACGGGAGAAUAAGCACCGGCUAACUACGUG